GUGGUUUGUCGCGUCGUUUGUGGAAUACCGCAGCUUAACUGCGGGGUUGCAGGCGAUACGGGCAUAACUUGAGUGCUGUAGGGGAGACUGGAAUUCCUGGUGUAGCGGUGGAAUGCGCAGAUAUCAGGAGGAACACCGAUGGCGAAGGCAGGUCUCUGGGCAGUAACUGACGCUGAGGAGCGAAAGCAUGGGUAGCGAACAGGAUUAGAUACCCUGGUAGUCCAUGCCGUAAACGGUGGGCGCUAGGUGUGAGUCCCUUCCACGGGGUUCGUGCCGUAGCUAACGCAUUAAGCGCCCCGCCUGGGGAGUACGGCCGCAAGGCUAAAACUCAAAGGAAUUGACGGGGGCCCGCACAAGCGGCGGAGCAUGUGGAUUAAUUCGAUGCAACGCGAAGAACCUUACCUGGGCCUGACAUACACCGGAUCGCUGCAGAGAUGUAGUUUCCCUUGUGGCUGGUGUACAGGUGGUGCAUGGUUGUCGUCAGCUCGUGUCGUGAGAUGUUGGGUUAAGUCCCGCAACGAGCGCAACCCUUGUCUUAUGUUGCCAGCAUUUGGUUGGGGACUCAUGAGAGACUGCCGGGGUUAACUCGGAGGAAGGUGGGGAUGACGUCAAAUCAUCAUGCCCCUUAUGUCCAGGGCUUCACACAUGCUACAAUGGUCGGUACAACGCGUUGCGACACUGUGAGGUGGAGCUAAUCGCCUAAAGCCGGCCUUAGUUCGGAUUGGGGUCUGCAACUCGACCCCAUGAAGUCGGAGUCGCUAGUAAUCGCAGAUCAGCAACG
This 781-nucleotide ribosomal RNA is filed under the name uncultured bacterium. Its description in RNAcentral is "bacterial SSU rRNA". It matches the Rfam family "Bacterial small subunit ribosomal RNA", at positions 575 to 1356 of the family's 1533-position model. The record is from RNAcentral.